AUUGAACGCUGGCGGCAGGCCUAACACAUGCAAGUCGAGCGGAUGAAGGGAGCUUGCUCCUGGAUUCAGCGGCGGACGGGUGAGUAAUGCCUAGGAAUAUGCCUGGCUGUGGGGGAUAACGUCCGGAAACGGGCGCUACUACCGCAUACGACCUGAGGGAGAAAGAGGGGGAUCUUCGGACCUCACGCUAUCAGAUGAGCCUAGGUCGGACUAGCUAGUUGGUGGGGUAAAGGCCUACCAAGGCGACGAUCCGUAACUGGUCGGAGAGGAUGAUCAGUCACACGGGAACUGAGACACGGUCCAGACUCCUACGGGAGGCAGCAGUGGGGAAUAUUGGACAAUGGGGGAAAGCCUGAUCCAGCCAUGCCGAGUGUGUGAAGAAGGUCUUCGGAUUGGAAAGCACUUUUAGGUGUGAUGAAGGGCAGUAAGUUAAUACCUUGCUGUUUUGACGGUACCAACAGAAGAAGCACCGGCUAACUACGUG
RNAcentral lists this ribosomal RNA (484 nucleotides) under uncultured bacterium. Its description in RNAcentral is "partial 16S ribosomal RNA". It matches the Rfam family "Bacterial small subunit ribosomal RNA", at positions 30 to 507 of the family's 1533-position model. The record is from RNAcentral.